Molecule: long non-coding RNA, 360 nt
Filed under: Citrus sinensis (sweet orange)
Lineage: Eukaryota; Viridiplantae; Streptophyta; Magnoliopsida; Sapindales; Rutaceae
Description: long non-coding RNA (CSIN_LNC001993)
Source: RNAcentral
CUACUAUUAACUGGAUUGGUGUUGUCACUGUGGCGGCAGGAGUAAAUGAUAAGAACAAACCAACUAAAACGUUUUGGCUAAUUAAGUAUCUCAACUAUAAAAUCUGAUUACAUAAUAGUUGACAAAUAGACAUCCUCAUUUGUCUUUGAUUAAAUUGAGGGUGACUGCCCCACGGGUGGUUUUAUAGAUAGAUACCCAUGCCGUGAAGCCGAAUCCGAGACCACCGCGUGUCACUCAAUUGCCCUGAUCUUGGUCAUUCAUAUAGGGCUACCAAGAAAAUAAAAAGAAAUUGAAAAUUAAAUUUAAAAAAAGAGAGAGAGAGAGAGAGAGAGAGAGAGAGAAAUCGAUAAUGGCUGAUCA